CAGUCGCCGCGGUAAUACGUAGGUGGCGAGCGUUGUCCGGAAUCAUUGGGCGUAAAGGGAGCGCAGGCGGGCAAGUAAGUCUUUCUUAAAAGUUCGGGGCUCAACCCCGUGAUGGGAAAGAAACUACAUGUCUUGAGUACAGGAGAGGAAAGCGGAAUUCCCAGUGUAGCGCUGAAAUGCGUAGAUAUUGGGAGGAACACCAGUGGCGAAGGCGGCUUUCUGGACUGCAACUGACGCUGAGGCUCGAAAGCCUGGGGAGCGAACGGGAUUAGAUACCCCAGUAGUCCCUGUCUCUUAUACC
RNAcentral lists this ribosomal RNA (301 nucleotides) under uncultured bacterium. RNAcentral describes it as "partial 16S ribosomal RNA". It matches the Rfam family "Bacterial small subunit ribosomal RNA", at positions 509 to 808 of the family's 1533-position model. The record is from RNAcentral.